This is a transfer RNA of Loxodonta africana (African savanna elephant), 57 nucleotides long. It matches the Rfam family "tRNA", at positions 8 to 63 of the family's 71-position model. From Rfam's summary of the family: Transfer RNA (tRNA) molecules are approximately 80 nucleotides in length. Their secondary structure includes four short double-helical elements and three loops (D, anti-codon, and T loops). Lineage: Eukaryota; Metazoa; Chordata; Mammalia; Proboscidea; Elephantidae. The record is from Rfam.
UGGCACAGUGGUAAAGCACUUGGCUGCUAACCAGAAGGUUGGUGGUUCAAACCCACC